AGGGCACCACCAGGAGUGGAGCCUGCGGCUUAAUUUGACUCAACACGGGAAAACUCACCCGGCCCGGACACUGGAAGGAUUGACAGAUUGAGUGCUCUUUCUUGAUUCAGUGGGUGGUGGUGCAUGGCCGUUCUUAGUUGGUGGAGCGAUUUGUCUGGUUAAUUCCGAUAACGAACGAGACUCUAGCCUACUAAAUAGAUCGUUGGCUUACAAACGCUGAUGAGACUUCCUAGAGGGACAGGCGGCGAUUCAGCCGCACGAAACAGAGCAAUAACAGGUCUGUGAUGCCCUUAGAUGUCCGGGGCCGCACGCGCGCUACACUGAAGUGAUCAGCGUGCAUUUUCAGCCUACUCUGCCAAGAGUGGGAAACCCAAUGAACCUUCUUCGUGAUUGGGAUAGGAGAUUGUAAUUAUUCUCCUUGAACGAGGAAUUCCCAGUAAGCGCGAGUCAUAAGCUCGCGUUGAUUACGUCCCUGCCCUUUGUACACACCGCCCGUCGCUACUACCGAUUGAAUGUUUU
Molecule: ribosomal RNA, 519 nt
Filed under: uncultured eukaryote
Lineage: Eukaryota
Description: SSU rRNA
Rfam family: Eukaryotic small subunit ribosomal RNA
Source: RNAcentral